AGUAAUGUAUGGGGAUCUGCCUGAUGGCGGGGGAUAACUACUGGAAACGGUAGCUAAUACCGCAUAACGUCGCAAGACCAAAGAGGGGGACCUUCGGGCCUCUUGCCAUCGGAUGUGCCCAGAUGGGAUUAGCUAGUAGGUGGGGUAACGGCUCACCUAGGCGACGAUCCCUAGCUGGUCUGAGAGGAUGAUCAGCCACACUGGGACUGAGACACGGCCCAG
This 222-nucleotide ribosomal RNA is filed under the name uncultured bacterium. RNAcentral describes it as "partial 16S ribosomal RNA". It matches the Rfam family "Bacterial small subunit ribosomal RNA", at positions 109 to 334 of the family's 1533-position model. The record is from RNAcentral.